UUGCACCCACCGAAGUCAAGGAGUGGCGGACGGGUGAGUAACACGUGGGUAACCUGCCCAUAAGAGGGGGAUAACAUUCGGAAACGGAUGCUAAUACCGCAUAUUUCUAAACGUCACAUGACGAAUAGAAGAAAGGUGGCUUCGGCUACCGCUUAUGGAUGGACCCGCGGCGUAUUAGCUAGUUGGUGAGGUAAUGGCUCACCAAGGCGAUGAUACGUAGCCGACCUGAGAGGGUGAUCGGCCACACUGGGACUGAGACACGGCCCAGACUCCUACGGGAGGCAGCAGUAGGGAAUCUUCCGCAAUGGACGAAAGUCUGACGGAGCAAUGCCGCGUGAGUGAAGAAGGUUUUCGGAUCGUAAAACUCUGUUGUUAGAGAAGAACAAGGAUGAGAGUAACUGCUCAUCCCCUGACGGUAUCUAACCAGAAAGCCACGGCUAACUACGUGCCAGCAGCCGCGGUAAUACGUAGGUGGCAAGCGUUGUCCGGAUUUAUUGGGCGUAAAGCGAGCGCAGGCGGUUCUUUAAGUCUGAUGUGAAAGCCCCCGGCUC
Molecule: ribosomal RNA, 551 nt
Filed under: Carnobacterium sp. 16DLWS2 1-1
Lineage: Bacteria; Bacillati; Bacillota; Bacilli; Lactobacillales; Carnobacteriaceae
Description: bacterial SSU rRNA
Rfam family: Bacterial small subunit ribosomal RNA
Source: RNAcentral